Molecule: ribosomal RNA, 459 nt
Filed under: uncultured bacterium
Lineage: Bacteria
Description: partial 16S ribosomal RNA
Rfam family: Bacterial small subunit ribosomal RNA
Source: RNAcentral
CCUACGGGAGGCUGCAGUGAGGAAUAUUGGUCAAUGGGCGCGAGCCUGAACCAGCCAAGUCGCGUGAGGGAAGACGGUCCUAUGGAUUGUAAACCUCUUUUGUCGGGGAGCAAAAGACGCCACGCGUGGCGUUCCGAGCGUACCCGAAGAAAAAGCAUCGGCUAACUCCGUGCCAGCAGCCGCGGUAAUACGGAGGAUGCGAGCGUUAUCCGGAUUUAUUGGGUUAAAGGGGUGCGCAGGCGGAAGAGCAAGUCAGCGGUAAAAGUGAGAGGCUCAACCUCUUCGAGCCGUUGAAACUGGUGUUCUUGAGUGAGUGAGAAGUAUGCGGAAUGCGUGGUGUAGCGGUGAAAUGCAUAGAUAUCACGCAGAACUCCGAUUGCGAAGGCAGCAUACCGGAGCGCAACUGACGCUCAUGCACGAAAGUGUGGGUAUCGAACAGGAUUAGAUACCCUUGUAGUC